Python bivittatus (Burmese python) is the source of this 1451-nucleotide non-coding RNA. The record is from RefSeq and is a predicted model, not a curated record. NCBI's taxonomy places the organism in Eukaryota, Metazoa, Chordata, Lepidosauria, Squamata, Pythonidae.
AAUUUGUAAGGGACAGCUCGGGGAUGCAGCAACCGGAACGGACGUCCGGAUCAAAAAUGGCCUUCUCACCUGCAGCGAUUGUUACAUCAAAUCCAGAACCGCUGGUCAGCCAACCACUUUGUGACAUGGAUCUCAGUUCUGCUUACAGAUGUUCUGCAAGAAGGAACAUCAUCAUUUGUGUCCUGGGGCUGUUCAGCACAAUUGCUUGUAAGAGCUCAAAUCCAUGGACUUCAUAGCUCUUCUCUCACUUUGAAAGCUGGGUUGAAAGGCUCAAAUGCCUAUUUCCUCAUGCAAUACAUAAUUUUAUUUCCUGAGUUCACUUAUGUUACAUGUAUGAAGUAUGUGGCUGGACAUUUAGUUCCUUUCCCUCCUAGGAGAGCGUGUUCCAGAUUAUCGGUCACGAUUGGUUUCAGAAUCUAAUAUUUUGAAAGGAAUGAAGAUGCAAUAAGUCUAUUCUGUUUUAAUAUCCUAGAAACUGAGAAUUUUAAGCUUACACAAACUUUGUAGAUGUUCUCUAAUAUGCCAAUAUAUUAAUCUAAUUAACUCUGUUGGCGGGAGGAGGUUAAGCAGCAUCAUAGAAACCAACUUUUCUGUUUAUUACUAAAGAGGUAACUUUUUUUAUACAGACACGUUUGAUAAAACAUAUUGUAAUUCUGAAACCUUUUACUAUAUUGCCUUCAGUGGAGGGUAGGAAUUCUCUCAAUAAAUUAUUGCACCUUCAGUCAUGCAAUCUUUGAAGACAUAAAAUGAGGCUUCUUGUAAUAACAGAUCAUCUACAUAAUGUUGGCAUUUUCACGAAACAAUAUAAACAUUCGGCGAUUGUCAAAACGCCUAACGGGUGGAACCUGUUUUUUAGCUGACCUUUGCUAACUCUUUCGGUUUUAAUUAAGAUAAACUCAGAGUUUUAUUUUACUGGGAAAAAAUUAAUAUUACAGCUCCCCUUUGCAGUUACUAUAUAAUGAUGUGGAAGUCUCAGUAGCUGUGAAGCUGUCAUUCCGUGGUAACCAGGUUAGCACUGGAGAUGAGGAACCUGAAGAGAUCACAAGAAGCUUCUGAUCCCCGCACUGCUCUCUGGAGAAGUGGUGAGGAUGUAAAAUGGGGCUCCUCUUGUAAUUAACCCUAAAUACAUCUUAAAAGAAACCCUUAACAGAAUUAUAGUACUGCCAAAGCAAGAGCAAAGGCCAGCACUUCCUUCUGUUAAACUGAAUGGGGCAGACACUGAGCACAGAUGGAACUCCUUUGAAUGGGAAGCAUGUUCAUCCUGCCAGCCUGGCUGCUCAUAGACUGGAAAAUUCAAUGAUUGGUAAGACUGAGGAACAACCGAUUCAUCCUUCUUUCUGUUUUUAGCCAGGUUGGUAAUAUGCAGAACCGUCUACCUUGUUUAUAAAAGUUAUGCGCACUACAUUAUAUUACCCACAUUUAACUAAACAUUUUCAAAAGCUUCCCUCAAC